GUGUCAACAAAUACAGAUGUUUCCCUUCAUAUGAUGAAAAUCUAGGGAUCCAAACUUAUUUGAAAAGCUAAAGAGGCACCAUUCAUCCCCACUGGAAUGGCAGGUUUUGCAGCAAUUGUUGCAUAUGUAUUAUACAAACUGAAGAGCAGGGGAAAUACUAAAAUGUUGCAUCAUCUGAUCCACAUGUGUGUGGCAGCCCAAGGCUUUGUUGAAGGAGCAAUGACUGUUGGUAUGGGCUAUCAUUCCAUGUAUCGGGAAUUCUGGGCAAAACCUACACCG
RNAcentral lists this long non-coding RNA (279 nucleotides) under Homo sapiens (human). RNAcentral describes it as "non-protein coding lnc-KCNH3-4:1". The record is from RNAcentral. Lineage: Eukaryota; Metazoa; Chordata; Mammalia; Primates; Hominidae.